This 371-nucleotide long non-coding RNA is filed under the name Lathyrus oleraceus (garden pea). RNAcentral describes it as "Pisum sativum (pea) long non-coding RNA (PSAT_LNC026267)". The record is from RNAcentral. Lineage: Eukaryota; Viridiplantae; Streptophyta; Magnoliopsida; Fabales; Fabaceae.
UAUUUCACAACUCAAUUUUUGUUUUUCACUAUUUUUCUUCCAAGCAAGCAUUCAUUUUCAUUUUUUCUAUUUUUGUUCUUUUCUUUCACAUCAUAUUUACAAAACAGAUGUUUCUUUUCUAUAUUUUUAUUUUCAAUGCUUGCUCGGUUUUUCAUUUUUUUUUCCAAGAGUUGUGGUACUUACCGAUUCUCCCCAACUUAUUUCUUACUCACCCUAAGUGAAUGCUCUUAACUUUUUACGGCAAAAGAACAAUAAUCAAGAUUUUCCGGGUUGUAAAAAAAAGAUUUUUGAAAUCUCGCUUUAUUUCAAGCUGAGAUUCAACUGUUUAAGCUCAAAGGGGUUAACGAAUACUCUCUCUGCUCACAGGUAAG